GGCUUACCAUGCAGUCGAACGGAAAGGCCCUUCGGGGUACUCGAGUGGCGAACGGGUGAGUAACACGUGGGUGAUCUGCCCUGCACUUUGGGAUAAGCCUGGGAAACUGGGUCUAAUACCGAAUAGGACCACGCGCUUCAUGGUGUGUGGUGGAAAGCUUUUGCGGUGUGGGAUGGGCCCGCGGCCUAUCAGCUUGUUGGUGGGGUAAUGGCCUACCAAGGCGACGACGGGUAGCCGGCCUGAGAGGGUGACCGGCCACACUGGGACUGAGAUACGGCCCAGACUCCUACGGGAGGCAGCAGUGGGGAAUAUUGCACAAUGGGCGCAAGCCUGAUGCAGCGACGCCGCGUGAGGGAUGACGGCCUUCGGGUUGUAAACCUCUUUCAAUAGGGACGAAGCGCAAGUGACGGUACCUAUAGAAGAAGCACCGGCCAACUACGUGCCAGCAGCCGCGGUAAUACGUAGGGUGCGAGCGUUGUCCGGAAUUACUGGGCGUAAAGAGCUCGUAGGUGGUUUGUCGCGUUGUUCGUGAAAACUCACAGCUUAACUGUGGGCGUGCGGGCGAUACGGGCAGACUAGAGUACUGCAGGGGAGACUGGAAUUCCUGGUGUAGCGGUGGAAUGCGCAGAUAUCAGGAGGAACACCGGUGGCGAAGGCGGGUCUCUGGGCAGUAACUGACGCUGAGGAGCGAAAGCGUGGGGAGCGAACAGGAUUAGAUACCCUGGUAGUCCACGCCGUAAACGGUGGGUACUAGGUGUGGGUUCCUUCCUUGGGAUCCGUGCCGUAGCUAACGCAUUAAGUACCCCGCCUGGGGAGUACGGCCGCAAGGCUAAAACUCAAAGGAAUUGACGGGGGCCCGCACAAGCGGCGGAGCAUGUGGAUUAAUUCGAUGCAACGCGAAGAACCUUACCUGGGUUUGACAUGCACAGGACGCCGGCAGAGAUGUCGGUUCCCUUGUGGCCUGUGUGCAGGUGGUGCAUGGCUGUCGUCAGCUCGUGUCGUGAGAUGUUGGGUUAAGUCCCGCAACGAGCGCAACCCUUGUCCUAUGUUGCCAGCGGGUUAUGCCGGGGACUCGUAGGAGACUGCCGGGGUCAACUCGGAGGAAGGUGGGGAUGACGUCAAGUCAUCAUGCCCCUUAUGUCCAGGGCUUCACACAUGCUACAAUGGCCGGUACAAAGGGCUGCGAUGCCGUGAGGUGGAGCGAAUCCUUUCAAAGCCGGUCUCAGUUCGGAUCGGGGUCUGCAACUCGACCCCGUGAAGUCGGAGUCGCUAGUAAUCGCAGAUCAGCAACGCUGCGGUGAAUACGUUCCCGGGCCUUGUACACACCGCCCGUCACGUCAUGAAAGUCGGUAACACCCGAAGCCGGUGGCCUAACCCUUGUGGAGGGAGCCGUCGAAGGUGAUCGCGUCC
Molecule: ribosomal RNA, 1410 nt
Filed under: Mycolicibacterium sp.
Lineage: Bacteria; Bacillati; Actinomycetota; Actinomycetes; Mycobacteriales; Mycobacteriaceae
Description: bacterial SSU rRNA
Rfam family: Bacterial small subunit ribosomal RNA
Source: RNAcentral